UGGCUCUUUUCCAAGCUCCUGGUCCAUGGAGUGGAAAGUUUGGCUUAGGGAAGAGGGCUCCUAGUUCCCCAUGAGCCCCUCUGCAGCCUGAAGGAGGAUAACUCGGCACAUAGGGACUGAAGUAGCCACUAGUCUCAACAGAAUUCCUCCUUCAGUCAAGCUCCAGCUAUCCAACGGCAAGUGAAACGACUAAAUAUUAAUCUACUGUGGGUCUGAGUGGUCUGUGAGAAGCUGAGCUCCUCAGCAAGCAGCCCUUGCUGAAAGCAGGAGCACAGUCCUUUUGAGCAGGGCUCCUGUUUUUCUUUCAGAGCUCUGCUGAAGAAGAAGACACGGAGUCUUUCUUUCCUGCACAAUAGCCAAGUGAUGAGUACCCAAAACACAAGGCUUGCAAGAAAUAAGGCUACUCAGGAGGUGGGGAAUGUUGCUGUUCUCUCAGAGCAGUACCUUUGUGCAGGAAAAAAGCUCAAACCUCACAAGCUUGCUGUUGCCCUUCUGAAACCUUGUCACUUGGAAUUUUGCUGAAAAAGUGCAUUUGGUACCAUUUUGAACCAGCCUUUCCCUUAAAAAUUAUUGUUUGAAGAGUGAAGGAGGUGGAUCAGAAUCACUGAAAUUUUUGAAUAUGGCAGACUCUCAUACCACCCAUUCAGCUGCUACCAACUUCUCUCAUAUAGAAAGCUGGCAACACAAGUAAUUUCCCUCUGGUUUUGGUCAAUAAAAAUGUUAUUGAACUAUGUUUGCAAACCCCAGGAGUGUGUUACUGUUGGUAGAUUCAGUAUUGUAUACCCAGGUAGCUAUUGAGACAAACCAAGGAGUACUUCCAGAUAGCUCCAAACAAUUAGAGAAAUACAAGAUUAAAAUAACGAUAUUAAAUUUUGGUUUUCAAAAAGCUGAUGGAGGCUAUAAGCCUACUUCAUACACAAAGAACA
Passer domesticus (house sparrow) is the source of this 926-nucleotide long non-coding RNA. RefSeq lists it as uncharacterized. The record is from RefSeq and is a predicted model, not a curated record. The transcript has 4 exons. Lineage: Eukaryota; Metazoa; Chordata; Aves; Passeriformes; Passeridae.